Molecule: ribosomal RNA, 675 nt
Filed under: uncultured bacterium
Lineage: Bacteria
Description: bacterial SSU rRNA
Rfam family: Bacterial small subunit ribosomal RNA
Source: RNAcentral
UUAGAACGGAUUACUUCGGUUUGAAGUUCUUCAUGACUGAGUGGCGGACGGGUGAGUAACGCGUGGGUAACCUGCCUUGUACUGGGGGAUAGCAGCUGGAAACGGCUGGUAAUACCGCAUAAGCGCACAAUGUUGCAUGACAUGGUGUGAAAAACUCCGGUGGUAUAAGAUGGACCCGCGUCUGAUUAGCUAGUUGGUGAGAUAACAGCCCACCAAGGCGACGAUCAGUAGCCGACCUGAGAGGGUGAUCGGCCACAUUGGGACUGAGACACGGCCCAGACUCCUACGGGAGGCAGCAGUGGGGAAUAUUGCACAAUGGAGGAAACUCUGAUGCAGCGACGCCGCGUGAGUGAAGAAGUAAUUCGUUAUGUAAAGCUCUAUCAGCAGGGAAGAUAGUGACGGUACCUGACUAAGAAGCUCCGGCUAAAUACGUGCCAGCAGCCGCGGUAAUACGUAUGGAGCAAGCGUUAUCCGGAUUUACUGGGUGUAAAGGGAGUGUAGGUGGCCAUGCAAGUCAGAAGUGAAAAUCCGGGGCUCAACCCCGGAACUGCUUUUGAAACUGUGAGGCUAGAGUGCAGGAGGGGUGAGUGGAAUUCCUAGUGUAGCGGUGAAAUGCGUAGAUAUUAGGAGGAACACCAGUGGCGAAGGCGGCUCACUGGACUGUAACUGACACUG